This 4549-nucleotide long non-coding RNA is filed under the name Sus scrofa (pig). RNAcentral's name for it is "lncRNA (ENSSSCG00050055198.1)". The record is from RNAcentral. Lineage: Eukaryota; Metazoa; Chordata; Mammalia; Artiodactyla; Suidae.
CCUCGGCAUAUGGAGGUUCACAGGCUAGGGGUCCAAUCGGAGCUGUAGCUGCCUGCCUAUGCCAGAGCCACAGCAAUGCAGGAUCCAAGCCAUGUCUGAGGCCUACACCACAGCUCAUGGCAAUGCUGGAUCCUUAACCCUCCGAGCGAGGCCAGGGAUCAAACCUGCAACCUCAUGGUUCCUAGUCAGAUUCAUUAACCACUAAGCCAUGAUGGGAACUCUAAGAAAGAUAGCUUAAAUUGAUGGUUAGCUUUUUAGUGUCUCAUAAAAUUUUUAUGAUUGAUCUAAACAUAAUUGUUAAGAAGGAAAUUAAAGAGAUGUAAAUAAAAUAAAAGUUUGUAAAUAAAGUUUUCAACAACAGUUAUGUUUCAUGCUGUAUCUGUUUAAAAACAUUUCCUAAAACCGUUUAGGGACUUUGAAGCCUACAUAAUCAUAUAAGCCAAUUCCUUCUAACAAGUUUUGAAUUUAACAAAACUUGGGGAAGAUUUCCUUCAAAAGGUAGGGCUAUGAAGAGUUCCACUGUAGCUCAGCGGGUUGAGAACCUGCCUAGUAUCCAUGAGGUUGCAGGUUCAGUCACUGGCCUUGCUCACUGGAUUAAGGAUCCAGUGCUGCCAUGGGCUAUGGUGUAGUUUGCAUAUGCGGCUUGCAUCUGGUGUUGCUGUGGCUGUGGUGUAGGCCAGCAGCUGUAGUUCUGAUUCAACCCCUAGCCAGGGAACUUCCAUAUGCCAUAGGUACACAAAAUAUUCAGACUUCUUAUUGAAAGAAUGACUGAACAAGUGGUAGAACAGGAACACCAGGAUAUGAAUGUGACCCUAUGGAGAAAAAUGGGUACAAAAUUUAUACUUCAUCUUGUGUUCCACCUAAAUCUUACCAAAAAAGAGAACUUCAAGAACAAAUGAAUUUUUAGAAUUUUUUUAGAGCUAGAAUUAUUUGUCUUUUAGGUUUUUUUGCUUUAUGUUAUUACUUAUUUUUUAAAUUUUUUUUUUACCUUGAUUCAACACAUUUGGAGGAUUUUUAUGGGCCAUUUAGAAGUCAGUAAACUAAAAAACUAUUAUUGAUGUAGCUGGGAAAGGGAAGAGAGGCAGGAGGGAAAGCAGGGCAAGAAGAGUAGAGCUUAUCAUUUGCAGGUCAGGAUCCCAGAUUAAAAACUUAAUUCCCCAGGGUCAGAUAUGGGGGUUGGUAGGAGUGGGAGAAGCCACCACACCCUUGUUCUCAUGUUUAUUUUACCCAAUUCCUGUCUAGUGCUUCCUAAACUGAGAAAAAGCCAAUGGAAUCCAAGCAGGACAAAAACAGUACUUAGAGCUCAGUUUUGUUCUAUGUCAGAGAGCUUUGGAAGAACUGGGUCUGUUUCGAAGUGGUCCUGGAUUCUGCUUCACAAUGAAUGUGGAGUUUCAUUUUCCCAGGGACAAUGAAUGAUACUCUUCAUUAGGAACCUUUAUUUCAGGCCUCCAUUGAAUAAUUACUGGAUGGCUGAAUGCAUCCAAGUAGGAGCUCUCCCUCCACUGCACUGCUUGGCUCAUGUUCCAUUCCAGCUACUUCAAGCUCUUAUAAACAGCGUUCAUUUUCCAUUACAAACUAGGAAAUGUUACUGUAGCCAAGGUGCCUGGUCCCUGGAGAGGGCCUACCAGGGAGGCCAUUUCCUCACAUCUCAUUUUAGUUUGCAACUUGCUGGCGGGGUUGAGUAACCACUGAAGCUCCAUGUCUUCCAUCCUCUUCUGUUCCACUAACUUAUGAAACAGCCAGUGACCUGCUGGAGGACUCGCAGAUCAGCCAGAUGUUUCCUGAGCAAAGAGAGCAUGCACAGCAUCUUGCGAGGGGGGAGGGCUGACGGGCACUCACCCUGUCUGACAUCACUGGGUGAGGCAGCCUGUGGGAGAAUUUCAAAGCAGAGCCGCUUGGCCAGGGGAGAGCUCAGCUGGCAGCUCUGUGCUGGGAUUAACUGACCCAGAUAACCAGGGAGAAGGGAUCAGCAAUCUCAGUGUGUUUAUUCCCCGUGAGGGGUUAGACCUUCCCCUCCCUGAAUACCCAUGAGCUGUAGGAGACCCGCCCCCAGGGCUCCACAGACACAGUCAGCAUCACGUUCACUGUACUGACUCUCAUCCCCACUCCCGUUGCCCCUGACUUUUCCUGAGACUGAGCGGGAUGAACUCAAUUGGUUUCAAUGAACAGUAAUGAAAUAUUAAUAAUUACUAAUAAAUCAACUAAUCCUUCUUCCCCAAACAUAGGGGAGCUCACAUUCUAAAAAACCAGCUCCUUAUAGAUUACUGGCUUGUUAGAUAUGGGAUGAUAAGAACUAGUAAAUAGAAGUUCCUGUUUUGAUUCAUUGGUAACACAUCCAGCUAAUAUUCAUGAGGACGUGGGUUCGAUCCCUGGUCUCAUUCAGAGGGUUAAGUAUCAGGCAUUGCUGUGAGCUGUGGUACAGGUUGCGGAUGCAACUUGGAUCCUUUGUUGUUGUGGCUGUGGCAUAGGCCAUCAGCGGCAGCUCUGAUCCAACCCCCUAGCCUGGGAACUUCCCUAUGCUGCACGUGUGGCUCUGAAAAGACAAAAAAAACAAAAAAAACAACAAAAAAAAAACAAACAAAAAAAAAACAGUAAAAUAAAAUAAUUUUUAAAUAUAGGGAACAUUGACAUGAAUUUGACAGUGUCUCUUUGAAAGGUCAUUAAAAGUAAAUCAUAGCAAAACAAAACAAAACAAAACAAAAACAAAUAGAAUGCAUGUACCAUUUGCUAUUGCUACAAUCUCAUACAAGAAAGCUUAAUUCAACCUCCUCAACUCAAAUGCCUCCAAGGAAAUUUUCUUCAUUUCCAUAAUCACAUCCAAUUUUUAGGUUCUGAAACCUGAAAUUUCUAUAUGACCUGGAAUCUGACCCUUGCCUACUCUCUAAGCUCCACCUCCUCUUUUGCUUAUUCUUCUCCAGCCUUUUUGCUCUCCCUCAAACAUGCCUUGGACUUUGCAUUUGCUGUUCCAACAUCUGGGGUGCUCACCCAGAUCUGUGGACAGCACACUCCUGCAGUGGACAGCUUUCUGACACGGCUCCCACUGAUCUACCUCCUGGGAUUCACAUCUGUGUGAUCCCCUCCCCUUUGUCUGAGCUAGAACUAGUGCUUGCUUAUAAAGAGGCUAGAAAAGACCUGCUCUAAAGAACAGUAACAGCAAUGGGCUGUCACUUAGAUAUUAUGUUAUGAAAGAAUAUAGUGUCCUUCUUGCUCACUCUCUCUGCCUCUUAUAUGUAUGUAUAUGUGUGUGUUGUAGAUGGUGGUUAAUUGGCCGCGUUACUUUCCUACUCUCAUGAGAGACACUGGAGGUAGAGAGCCUCUGAAAAAGGGUCAUCUGUGCUGUUGCUCCCCUUUUACAACUGUGUUCUUCCAGGGGAGUCCUGACCGCUAGCUUUCUCUGCCAUUUUAUUUUAUUCACUUCUAUUUGUUUCUGGAGCAGGAAUUGUAACAAAUCUUAGAUUGAAAUCCUUAUGUGUUAAUUCUUAUGUAUGUACUUAUGUAUUUCACAUGUUAAAAACAGAAAAUAUGACUAUAUUACUUUUUAUGUACCUAUAUGUAUAUGUAGUCAGCUUAGCUACCAUCUUGAAACCAUUCUAUCUACUUCCUUUGUGUCAAUGCUUUCAAAUAUGGGAAGAUCUGUAUCAUAUGAUGACUUAUUCUUUCCUCUUUUGUCUAAAAAUACCAGGUUCCUUUAAUGGUUCUAAUCUCCAAUAAUUUUUUGACUUCUAUUGCCAAAAACUCCCUCCUCUAUUCCUGUUGGCACAUAAGAUUCAUUCAAUAGCACUAUAUGGCUUCCAAAGGGAGAGAAUACUCAGAGUACAGGGAAAUUAUUACUUCUCGUAAACUAUCAAUAUAGCCUCUGAUAUAUUGAUCCCUGGUAAAUUAUGUUUCCUGCCAUUUAUGGAUCAUUUUUUCUUCCCUUUUCAACUUAUCAGACAGCAAACUAUAUUAGUGUCUUUAGUGGAAGCCCAUUUUACUCACUGGUAUUAUGUCAUUCAUUUAUUUAAUAAAGAGUUAUCAAAGGCCAACUCUGUGCCAAGAGCCAAGGUGGGCACUGGCUGUAUAGAGAUAAGCAAACAAAGGUGUUUCUGGAAUUUAUCAGACUUAUGUAUAGCAUUCACAUUUUUGUAAUUGUUUGUAGACCUAUUAUUAUACAUAUAAUUGCUAGUGAUUAUAUUGUCAGAAUUGUAUUUUUUAAAAAGGAUAACAAUUUGAUAAAGCAAAACCAACAACACGAUGUUAACUGUAAAAUGUAAAAUGUAGUUGGGUGUUCACGGUGCACUUCUUUCUACUUUUCUGUAUAUUUGAAAUCUUUCAUAAUAAAAUUUGGGGGGGGAGAUUUUGGCUAUUCUUCACAAGCUAUAUUUCUUUUAUAGUCCUUAGCCAUCACAUUGUACCCUCUUUUAAAUUCUUUAGAUAGCUUUUCUUACUUUUUAUGAACUUCAGGAUACCACAGCCUCUAUCUUCCAGAGUUCCUGGGAGAAACUGUGAGCUCCCACUAAUUACUAGAAAGAGUCAGCGACACUUAGCAAGGAAGAGGAGGCAUAUCAGG